Molecule: long non-coding RNA, 442 nt
Filed under: Zonotrichia albicollis (white-throated sparrow)
Lineage: Eukaryota; Metazoa; Chordata; Aves; Passeriformes; Passerellidae
Description: lncRNA (ENSZALG00000018096.1)
Source: RNAcentral
CUUUUAGGCGAUUUGUAUUGAUUGAAUACACCGCAGAUAUGGUGUGCAUUUUAUAUGAAACAAGGCAUGAUUUCUUCUUUGAAGAAGCACUUCUUGAUCUCAUUAUUUCUUCAGCAGCAAAUCCAGGAACAUGAUAAGCAAAGUAAACAUGAUUAUGCUCAAGGAUGGAUAACUGAUUAAGAGGAAACUCCUAUCAGCUGAAGAUGUGGAGUAAUGUAAAGCAGGAGGAUGUAUGUUCCAGGAAACAAUUACCCUGGCUCUUUGCAGAGAAAAAAGAAGAAAGGGAGUAAAAUCUAAAGCAUUAAUUCCACACCCCUCCACAUCUCCCCCAUCCUUCUUUCACAGAUUCGUUUCCGCGGCAGAGCUGAGCUGAUUAAGGACCACUGGCCAGAGGGGAGCAGUGUCAGGGCCACCCAGCCUGGCACCAGGCAUCCUGCAGCUG